AGCAUAUGCUUGCCCUUUGUUCAUGCUAGAUGACCCAUUGCGCCGAUGGCACAAAGGGCAAGAGUGAACCAAGCAUUCAAACCGUGCAAGUAAGAAUAUUUAGAGAUCAAUCAUAAAAUCUUGAAGCAUAAGGGAAAAUAUUUAGGUACGUUCAUACAUAGCAUUAUAUAGUCUGAACUAAUCACAUGGUAACAAUGAGCAUAAGAGAGGCAUAGGAAACACACAACUGAGCCUGAAAACAAAGGACACAUCUUACUGGUUGUGUGUAUAUCAGAACAUAAAACCAUACACAUUUUCACACCCACACAUACUGUCAGCAAAACAAGGAAUGUUAGCUGCUCCUGAAUUAUCUGCAAAACAUACGGAAGAUGAACAGGACAAUCUGACAGGACAUAAAAUCAGAUCUCAAGCUUCUCGACAAAGAAAGCUAAUUUCCUACCGCCUGCCAGUAAUGUUACAUCGUUACUUGGUUAUCGCCAUACAAAUCAGUGUAGUUAAGAAUGCUCAAAGGUUGCAGGCUACAGAUAAAACCUUCUCAAAAUAGGCUUUCACCCCGCUUUAUUUAUAAAGCAAACAUCCAUACAACCAGGCCAAAGUAGCCAAGCAACUAAGAUGGCCGGGGCAAGAACACGACCAUGCGCAAAGAAAGCAAAAAAGAAAUAGAGAAAAAAGCCGUCGAGUGGCAAUAGGCAUAGCAGCACUAUGAAGAGGAGAGACGGCAGUACAGAUAAAACCCUCUCUGAGAAAAGCAUGAGGCAGCAAUGACCAUAUGAAAGGUAAAAACCUACCCGGGCAAACACGACGUUGCAUCUCCGAAUAGGAAGUGACGCACCAAGCAAAAACUCCCUUUGCAGAGACAACGACACAUCCUUAAGUUAGUUCUGCACCCCUCAUCAGCAUGAAAGCAACAACUCCAGAUUUGUUGUAAUUUCACCAACCUGAGACAAAAAUCGCAAAAAAUUAUCUAAAGGUCCUAAAUAAACGUGUUAAACAUCUGUGUGUAUUUAUAUCGGUCUAACCUAUAGAUUUAGCACAUCACGAUGGAUAAUUGGAUAGACUGCCAUUACCUUGUCAACAUGCUUCCAUAAGCAUGUAGUUGUUUAAAUUCGGAAAGUGUAUGAUACAACAAACGUGGAUUGGGUUAUUUAUACGGACAGGAUAAUAUAUAGUUUGAUGCAUAUUCCUAACCAAAGCCUACACACUAUCUGAUUCUAAGUGUCCACAUCCAUUUAUGCCGACCAAUUUUUUGUUUUGCCAAUCAGUGUGUGAGUGAAACUUGUUUAUCAGGAUAUUAACAUUCCCAUUCAAGUUCACAGAAUUUUACAAAGGAUAGUUUAAGUUUAGUAGUAUCAAUAUUGGGUGAGAGAGAUACCCGGGAUAGAUGACAUCAGCGAGAUACCCAAGAUCUCCAGACCAUAGCCAAGAUGGUAAGAUGACAUCACUGAGUCAU
This 1450-nucleotide long non-coding RNA is filed under the name Triticum aestivum (bread wheat). RNAcentral's name for it is "long non-coding RNA (TAES_LNC023763)". Lineage: Eukaryota; Viridiplantae; Streptophyta; Magnoliopsida; Poales; Poaceae. The record is from RNAcentral.